RNAcentral lists this ribosomal RNA (380 nucleotides) under uncultured eukaryote. Its description in RNAcentral is "partial 18S ribosomal RNA". It matches the Rfam family "Eukaryotic small subunit ribosomal RNA", at positions 592 to 976 of the family's 1831-position model. The record is from RNAcentral.
CAAUAGCGUAUAUUAAAGUUGUUGCGGCUAAAAAGCUCGUAGUUGGAUUUCUGCCGGAAACAGCCGGUCCGUACUAUGUGCGUGUAUCUGGUUUGGUUUUGGCAUCCUCCCGGAAUACGUUGCUGCGCUUGGUUGCGUGGCACGGAGUUCGGGACUUUUACUUUGAGGAAAUUAGAGUGUUCACGGCAGGCAGUCGCCUUGAAUAUAUUAGCAUGGAAUAAUACCAUAGGAUCUUGGUCCUAUUUUGUUGGUUUCUAGGGCUAAGAUAAUGAUUAAUAGGGACAAUUGGGGGCAUUCGUAUUAACGCGUUAGAGGUGAAAUUCUAUGAUUGCGUUACGACGAACUACUGCGAAAGCAUUUGCCAAGGAUGUUUNCAUUGA